Rosa chinensis is the source of this 501-nucleotide long non-coding RNA. RefSeq lists it as uncharacterized. NCBI's taxonomy places the organism in Eukaryota, Viridiplantae, Streptophyta, Magnoliopsida, Rosales, Rosaceae. The transcript has 3 exons. The record is from RefSeq and is a predicted model, not a curated record.
CGAAAAACACGAGCUUGUGUACGUGUCGUCCAAUUAUACGUUUGUUUUCCGAUGUACAUUGUGUUAGUAUGGACACGACCACAUGUGAUUAGUAAGUAGACCUAAAAUCUAAAAUCCCAAGUCAAUCUUCCUCAGCUCUCUGCGACUCCGCCUCCAACUCUCUGUCUCUCUCGGUCUCUCCCAGAAAUCGAUCUUCCUCAGCCCUCAGACCUAGUUAGUCCGUCCCUCUGUUCCUCACAGUCAAUCUCCCAGAAAUCGGUCUUCCUCACCUACGGCCUCUCAGCUUGCUCCUAGCCUUGACGAUCUUCUCCAAUCUCUCACUGCUCGCUUGCUCCUCUUCGCUUCAGGACCCCCAGAUCGCCAACGCCGAGUGUAGAAUGGAGACCUCUCAUAUCAUCAAGGUUUUCUUGACGUUAAAGGGGUUAAAUUGAUGCAUCUUGGGUUUUGAAGCUGCUACAUUUUAUGAACUGGACUGCGAGCUUUAUGACAUCGACAUCGACA